RNAcentral lists this long non-coding RNA (18358 nucleotides) under Coffea arabica (coffee). RNAcentral describes it as "long non-coding RNA (CARA_LNC004928)". The record is from RNAcentral. Lineage: Eukaryota; Viridiplantae; Streptophyta; Magnoliopsida; Gentianales; Rubiaceae.
CAGAUUCGUGAAGAUGGAUUUGAAGAGGGAUGGCUCCUUCCCAUACGUAUUUCUGGGCUUCCGUUGCUGUUUUACUUCCCAUUGACUGAUUCACCGCUCAAUUCUUCUUCUUCCUUCUUCUUUUUCUUCCACAAUUACUCCUCUGACCUCUCUCUCUUUUUUCUGUCGAGCCUCAGGGGGGGGGCGCUUAAACCAGCUGCUCUUCAAUCAGUUUCGUGAUGUCCGGGUUAAACCCCAAAGUUGUCAAACACAAAUAAUCAAAGACUCGGACUAAGUCAAGGAGUCGAGUCUCAUCCCACGUUUCUAAGUUCGCACAGUGGAUCCUUAUUUUUUUAGGACCACCGGUAAGGGCAUGCCCCCCGUAUUUUAGGUGUACAGCGGCUCUUAUAUAUUGCUCAUUAAAACGGACCGUACAGCAUUUCACACACAGGCACUGGUGAUGGGAUUCAAACACAUGAGAAUAUGGCGGUGAUAUUUAAACACAUGAGGACACGUCUCUUGAGACUAUCGAUCGCGCUUAGGCCGCUUAUAAAAAUUCUUAUAAAUCACCUGUCGACGAUGGGAUUCAAACAAACGAAUAUGCGAGAGCAUGUCCCAAAACUACAUGUGCUUAUAAAAUUUCUUACAAAUCACCCAUCAAUAUUGUUUUCAUGUCAACAGUUAAUUCAAGCACACGAUCCCAUUUUCGAAAACACGAUCCGUUCUUAUCCAUUAAAUCAAUUUAUAUUGACAUAUAUCUUUAUUUUCCAUAGACAUCCUUUCUCCCUAGUACUUGCUACAUUUGUUAUUUUUUAACACAAUCUUGCAACAAGAAAAUCAAUUAACUAGGACAAGCCUCGAGGUAUGUUUAAAAUCUUAGGGAAAAAGGGAAUGUACAUACUAAUACUACUAGCACUUAUUGAGUGGUGUGUCAUGUAAUAUGGUGCAAAUUCUUCAUCCACUUCUUGUGAUGAAGUGUUUUCUUAAAUGCACCCCUUGUAGUUUAAAAAUAUUUACUUACACCUCCCGUACUUUGAAUAGAAGCGGAAAACAUGUAGAAACAAACUUCACUGCUGGAGAUUUCAUUAUACACGUUCUACUAAUGCAACUAAAAUUUUUUGAUUCUAACUAUGUGAGGUCUUAAUAACACUAUUUUUCUUUUACAAAUAGUGCAACUAAUUAUUUGAUUCUAACAUUUUUUAUCACCCUUGGUUCUCUCUUCAUCUCUAAUAGCUAGUUUGAGAGUUCAGAUUUCAAAGGAAUAGAAAAGAAAGGAAGGGAAAUGUGAACUUUUCACGUUUGGGAGAUAGAUUUUAGUGAGACGGAAAAGAAAAGAAACGAACGGAUCUUGAAGAGAAGCCAAGCGCUGCUACAGUGCAAAAAUUUUCUGACCAAAACGGGCGGAAAGCGAAGGAAAACUGAUGGAAGCUUACAAAUUUUUUUUUUAUCCUUUCUUGUCUCACAUAACUUAUCCUUUCUCUUCUUUUCUUUUCUAUCCUCAACUCACAAACUAGCUAUAAGGGUAUUUUCAAAAAAAAAAAUUUCUAAAAUUUAACAUUACUCGAAUUUGGCAUAUUUAAUAGUUGUUCGUCUACCAGAGUGCGGUCUGCAGAUUCUGUCAGUAAUUUGAUUAGGAUUAAAAAAUAACAAUAAAAACUUCACUAUAAAAGAGAAAACAACAAAAUUUUAGACCCAAAAAAAAAAAAAAUCGAUCCUAAAAUGGCAAAAAGCCCAAAAUCCAUUAGCCAAUGAAAGCAAAAAUCGGAAGCAAAGGUCGCAAGUAGCAAGUCUCCAUCAUCCUCCUCAGGCCGUCCUUCCUCGGCCAUCUUUGUCAGCUACCAGAAGGAAAGCCUCUUCAAGCACCAAAUUUACACAGACUCUAUCUAUCGCUCUCUCCCUCUCUCUCUCUCUGUAGUUGUAGCAUUUCCAUCACCCCCAGAAAGCUCCCUUAGCUCACAAUCCACAGCCCUCUGCCCCUUCCCCACGCAUCCCAACCCUAGAGUGCCCCAGACAAAUAAGCACAAGGAUUGGAACCCAGAAGUUUGAUUCUUUUUUUGCCGCUUCAAAUGUGAAAAUUAUCAAGAACCCACAUCAGAAAUCACGGAAAUGAUGUUAGGGGCCGUCCAAUUUGGAGUAUUGGCGGCCUGUAUAGUACUCUUUGUACCCAUGGGAAUGGCGGGUUGGCACUUGAGUCGCAACAAAAUGCUGUUUUUUAGCGGUGCCCUUUUCAUUACUCUUGCGGUAGGCGUUCAUCUAACCCCUUAUUUUCCUUCUUUUUCCGCUUUUAUUCCAUCAUCAUCGUCUUUGCCUUCAUCACCAACUGUUGUAGCUUCUUCUGUAAAUCGUGAUUCUUGCAUUUCCUCUUUACACGAAAUUGAAUUUCAUAAUCAAGAUUCUAGAAAUAAUGACAGUACUAGUGAAAAGAAGUCUUGGAAAUGGGUAGAUUCUAAUAAGGGUGUAGUGGAUUGUGAGUUUCAGAAGUUGAGUAAAUCUGAUGCUUCUGAUUUGUUAAACGGGUCGUGGGUCGUUGUUGCUGGUGAUUCACAGGCGAGGUUGAUGGUGGUUUCUUUGUUAGAAUUAUUAAUGGGAUUGGACGAGAUAGAAAGGGUUAGAGGGGAUUUGUUCAAGAGGCAUAGUGAUUACCGCACCACUGUGGACGUGAUCGGGAUGAAGUUGGAUUUUAUCUGGGCGCCAUAUGUUAGUAACUUGACGGAUUUGAUGGUUGAAUUUAGGGAGAAAAGGUACCAUCCAGAUGUUUUUGUGAUUGGGUCAGGGUUGUGGGAUAUGUUACACAUGAAUAAUGCAACUGAUUAUGGUGUUUCAGUGAGCAGGUUGAAGGAUUCGUUGAUGCCACUUUUACCUGUUACUCCAGAAUUUGAAUUUGAGGAUAGGCCGGUAGUAGUUCGCUCACCUCUUAUGUUUUGGCUCAGGAUGCCAACAUUGAUAAACUCGAUUUUGAAUACAGAGGAGAAAAGAGCGAAGAUGACUGAUGCAAUGUGGUAUGCUUAUGAUGAGCAGAUUUACAAAAGUAAGCUAGUGCGGAAUUUUGGAGGACCUCUUUUCUUAUUGGAUAUUCGCUAUUUGAGUAGCAGAUGUGGAAGGACAUGUACAGUAGAUGGGAUGCAUUAUGAUGGAAUUGUUUAUGAAGCUGCUGUACAUAUCAUGUUGAACGCGUUGCUCAUUGAGUCCCAACAGAGGUUGUCGUGAUGCAAUUUUGGUUUAGUUAGUUAAUUAAGGAAACCAGAAGCAUGGAGGAGCAAAAACAUUCUUCCAUGAGUUUCAGCUCUAGUUGCUUCAAUGUUGCAUGUAUGAUUCUUUCAAGCCCACUUCCCUUGAUAUGGGAAGUUUUGUAUUAGUUGUUGGUUUAUAGGUUCAUUUUUGCCCCCCUUGAUAAUUUGUAUCCAUACAGAUACUUACAAAACUUGUAUUUCAUAGUCAAGGAAGCCACUCCUGUAUCUCAUUCAAUUUUGAUGUGAAGAGAUACAAUGAUCUGAAUUGAUGUUUUUCCACAUUAGUUAUGAAUGUUUCUGACACAUACUUGUCAAUUUUAAGAAUUUGAUGUAGAUGCUUUGUUAAAUUACUUCAUUUGAUUCUUGAGUGGUAGUUCUGAACAUGAAUUUUGGGAUGGUGUAACGUCCUCUGUUAAGAAGAAAGCUACACAUAUGCUUUCUGCCAUGUAGUUAGGGUAUCUAACUUUCUCAUUCUCUAUAGUUGGUAAGUUGACAAUGAUGAUACUUCUUUUUUUUCUUACUUAGAGGAUCAAUAGUGGUUCCCUACUUACCCCCGUGAUGAUUCGAACCUGUGACCUAUCAGUUACGGGUGAAACAUCUUAACUAGGCCAUGCUUCGUUGUCAACAAUGAUGAUACUUCUUUUUAAGCAAAUAUACGCCACGUUUUGUUUCAUCCCUGCAUAUUUAUGUGAUUGACCAAGCAAUGAUCUAGGACUAUAGGGUACGCCGCACGAUUGUAGUUCAGUUCAUAAUGAUAUUGUAGAGCAUAUCCUUCCUGCCACAAGCUUGUUCUUCAUCUGCAUCUGAACUUAAGGCUACAUGCUGUCUUUUAUCUCUCCUGUAGUAAAUAAAGAAUUAAUCAAACAGUUAACUCUUCUGCAUAAUGUGUAUGGAAUUAAUCCUGCAUACACCUGAGUUGUAUUUUCAUCAUUCAAAUUCUCUAAUUAACAGAUAUUAGGAAACCAAUGUUGGCAAGCAUCUUCAGUUUACCACUUUACCUAAGCUGUUGCUGGGAUUAUCUUUGGUGCCUCUUGCUUGCUUGUGGUUGGUUCUAUAUUGAAACCUAUUGUGACAGGUUUUGCUGUCAAUUCUGCAGUCAAUGGCUGCCACUGAAUUAUGUUAGGUAGAACAUCUAUCUUGGAUUUUCAAAAAACACAAGUGCUGAGCUUGAACCCACCUUUUCAUGUCAAUGCAUCACUCACUUGUCCAGUGAUAUUCUGUAAUUUGGCUGAGAAGUGACAUUCUAAGAAUAACCAUUUGCAAAUCCCCAGGAGUUUUAUCUCCCUAUUACCUUGGACCAUGGAUUGAAGGGUGAUUUUGAAGAUAGCUGCUUAUGUAUGGUGUUAACAGAAUAAGUAAAAGAUAAUUGUGUCUAUCAACAAAGAGAGUAAAAUUUUUAAAAUAAAAAUAAAAAAGCAUAUCAUUUGCUAGGAUAGGAAUGGUCCUUAAUUUCUUAUGGUAAUUCAUGAUCAUCCAGUUGAUCUAUUGAAUAGUGGACCAGAUUCAGUGUAAUAGAACUGAUGUAUAAUCACUCAGUUGUAUUUGGUUAGGUUUUAGGAUUCAGUGGUCAGGAGAACUGAAUAUUUAGCUGAAGCAGAUUGGCAAGUCGAAGCCUUUUUCUAUGGGAUUUUAGAAUUGGCAAGAAACUAUAAUGGUAUCAAGCAUUAGGUGCAAAUACGAUUGAUUGAAUAGUUAAAUUAUGAACCUAUUAUUUGUUUCUCACCAGCAGUAGAGAACUGAUUAUUUGAUGAAGUUGUAAAUGGAUUGUUUGUGUAUGUAUUGAUUCUGUCCUUGGACUUUAGAACACUGGAUUAAAGCAGUAAUAGGAAGUUCUUAGAUACGCAAGAAGAAAGAAGGAUAGGAGGAGGAUAAUAUGUAGGACUACAAGGCAAUACCAUGUUAAUAGUCUUGCCUCUAAAUCUUGGCCUUGUUUGGCAAAUGAGUUUAAAAUUUUCCAGAUUCUCAGUGAGGUGAGAACCAUUAAACUUCUGUUAGGAGAAGACUGAGGUCUAGUUAUUACUCCAAUAAUGCGUCAAUGCCAAAAGGUGCUAGUUAAGGGACCGAUGGAGUAUUGAUCAGCACAGAUUUUGUUAUCAGGGACAACCACCAUCUGAAGGAAAAGGUCACCUUUUUUCAUGAACAAGCAUCAAAUUUUGGACUUCAACAUGGAGCCUGUUUAGUUUGGCAUUCGUCAAGCUUUAGAAGGAUGGCAAUUUCACAAACUCAAUUGUAACCUAUUUUCUUCUUUUAUCAUUUUAACUUGUUAACUUUUGAACAGUUGAAUGAAUUAGCAUAUGGCAACUUUGCCUCGAUCUGCAGCGUGUCUUCAUUACUUUUAUCAGUUUAUACUGUUUAUAUUCAUUGGGCUUUGCACUUAGCAGCAACUGAUAGACAAAAUUCUCUUUCACUUUUUGCAUGGCAUGUUAAGAGAAGUCUUUUGAGGUUCAUCGUUGAUCUCGAUACUGGCAUAUAGCUAUCACAAAGUGAAGGCAAACAAAUUUAUAACUUCCACUUGGCGACAACAGUUUUUUUUUUUUUUCCAAGUCUGUUGUGGAAGUGAAAAUAGACUGCUACACAGACAGCUUGCUUGCUCUCUUCUCAUUUUCAAGCUCCAUGCGGUGCUCGAAAGGUGCCCUCCAAUAAAAGUGAAUACAAAUUCCGUUGUACAACAUAUUUUGCCCUCAAUGAUGAUCCAACACCAUUUCCAAACCCCUAGCCUUGCCCCUUCCUCAAAUUAAACCUCAUUUCGGAAAAAGAAAGAGCCACCAAUACACCUCGUACUCCCUACCUUUGAUUCAGGAGAGGGUCAGCAAUAACAAUAUUAUCUUUUCGUUUCAGACAGGUUCUACUUUCAAUAAUCAAACUGCUUUCCUUCAAACGUCUGCCCAUAAUUCCAGUCCUUUGGAGCGACACUGUAAGAUGCAAGGGUCACUCCAUCACCAUUGGUAAGCUCAAAUGAGAGAGGUUGAUUCUUCAAAUCAGCAUUUAUGUGCCAAUUCUGCCCCCAGUUCCUGCCCAUUGGAAGCCAUCCGGUUCUUGAGCCUUUGAUUUUCACAGCAGCUAUGUCUCCAGCACCUGCAACAUUGCUGAUUAACACUGAUAGAAAUAUUCCAGCACCAUUAACUGCAAAACGAACCCCUCCUUCCUUUCUACAUUUGACCCUGUUCAAGUAAGAAGAAAAAAUAAGCAUAUGACUGAAAAAAUCUUAUCAAGAAACCUCUAUCUCGUUAUAGUUCUAUAUAAAGGAUAUAUAGUCAUAGAGGAUGCUUUUACAUUUUUUAACUAACACACUCUCUCCCGUUUCUUUUUGCCAAGCACCUCUUAUAAGUGUAUGGUACCAUAACUACCAGAUACAAGAUGUGCCAUGGUCAACAGGAUAAACAAAACCCCCAAAAAAAGAAAAGAAAAGAAGAAAAAAAGAAAAAAAAAAGAGGAAUCCUUUGCAGCCAGUCAUGUUUGUACUUUUACCUUUGCAUUUAUAUUACAACAAGCAUAAAAAACUUGGCAAAUUAAUCAACACCACACCGUGUGACAAAUUGCUUCUUGGUGCAAAAAGUAUGUUGAUAAGAGGGCCUAAAAAAGAUUUUCACAGCUGACAACUUAAAGAAACAGCAAGGUGUUGAAAUGAAGCUUCAAUCAUAUCUGGACCAUACUUCUUCUAUAAUACAACUUUUACCAACACUACAGCACGCUUAUACCUUCCAAGUCUCAAUUCUCCUCUGCUACCUUAGUUAACCUCCCAACACUCCCAAAUCAUAUCUGGGCACACUUUUCAGGUAUCGUGUCCAGAUUACCUACUUUCAAGAACUUAUUUAAGUUUUUUUAAGAGCUAAAUUUCUGCAUAUUCAAAAGAAUAAUUCGAACUAGUGAAAAAAAAUCUCAACUAAUUUCUCCAGACGUUUCAGAACAGAGACUACAAAGAAUUCAUUAAGCCCAAAGUAGUUUUCUAAUAAGUCCUGUAUCUCUCAGACUCACCAGAGACUACAAAGGCUUCUAUAUUCAAGAUUAAAGAGAUUCUACAAGAAGCAACUUGAAGCCCUCUAAGUAAUCAUAUUUCACUUACCGUGUUCAUAUCAAAAAUUUUAUGCCAUGGACAUAUUGAAAAAUCUCAGAAGUUUCAGAUGAUAUAUCAUCUUCCAUUGACUUUCAAGUUUCUCAAGUCUUUCUCAUGAGUUAUUAGCCUACAAUUUUUAACGCCCAUAAUUUCAAAAAAUCAGUCCAAUUGUUUCAACAUACUCCAUGUACUAAUUCAACAGGCAAUAGCUACAAUAAUCUUUUCUGAUAUCCUGAGUUUAUAAUCACAAUGAUUACCCAGAAAUUUUUAGUCUUUCAGCAUUAAAGGAUGUUUAGAGUUUGCACUGAAUAAAAUUUGACUCCAAAUUUCAUACUUUCUGUAGUUCAAUCACCUUAUUACAUGCUAAAUAAGAUCUUUACAUCUUUAGUUCCUUUGGCAUCCCGUCAAAUUACAACUCUAAUCACAAAAAUCAUUCUAUUUCACCUUGUUGAAGCAAACUUUGUAAGGCUUUCUGCUGCAUACAUCAGAUAGCUACACUAGUCAGUCACCGGUCCCACAUCCAUUCUCCAUUGUAAAGAUGAUUGUGGUUUCACAUUAACAUUGGACCGGGAUGGAAUCUACAUGUCACAUCCAAAACAACAAACGUAGACAAAAUAGGUUAUUCAUUUGUUUGUGCCAUGUUAAGUUUUCUAGAUUAAGAACAUAAGUCACAUAUAUUUCUAAUUUUAUGCUCCUGAAGACCCUAAAAAAAAAAAAGCAAUAUGAAAUAAAAACAAACCAACACUUUACCAACUAUUUAUAAAAUUAAAAAAAAAAAUUUGUUUACAGAAAAGGCCUGAAAAAAUAGAUGCAGCUACAAAUAUACCAUUACACGAGUAACUCUAGCUCAACAAAAAAAAAUAGCAGGAAAGAAAAGGAGAAUUCAGCUAAAGAAUCAAGUACACAAACUCGAUACCUGCGAUACUGAAUGGGCAUAUUGGAAGCCUUCCAAAUGGCAAUUUUCUCAAAAGCUUCAAUGGGAAGCACAAAAUGUGCAUUAGGGAAAUUACAAUGUCCUCCACCAUCAGCUUCAAACCCAUAAUUCGGAGCACAAAAGUUAGUCGCAGUAACAAUAAUGGAAGUCCCAGGAAUACACCAUCUCAGGUCCUCAACACACCUAACUUGAAAGCAAGCUCCACAGAUCUGACCCUUUUCAAACAGGACUGUACUGAGUGCAGCUGUGGCUUUCCCGUAUCCCAUUUUCUCCAGGUCCCCAUAACCACAAGCCCCACCAACCGGGUCUCCCGGUUCCGCGGCGGCGUAGUAGGUGGCUCUGGCGGAUCUCCACUCUGUGUAGGAGGAGGGGGUGGAGGAAGAAGGGGAGUAUUGGUAGUGGGAGCGGACUAGCUGGGGUAGGGAGGAGAGUAGCGUGAAUGCUACUGUGACUGUGACUAGAGUUUGAAAGAGUAAAGUUGGUGGCAUCUUUGUCUUGAUCUUGAUGGGGGUGAGUGAAGGAGCGAAGCUAUCGAAGACAAUAUUUGAUUUGCUCUUUCAAGUUUCUAUACCUAGUCGCAUAUUGUUCUUGGGAGCUGUAUUUUCUCCUUUUAUGUUCUCCUCUUUUCUUGAAAUCUUAAACUAAAAUAAUUAUGAGAUCUUUACAUAUUAAUUUAUAAAGAGGACGGGUGUAAAUCUCUAGAUCAGAUAAGUGCGCUGCUGCAAUCUCUGAAUCUUUAAAAAAAAAAAAAAAAACCAAGCAUAAUACUUCUUAGUAAUAUACUACUAGGCUGGCUUUGAAUCUCCAACAUAGCAUGAUGGCGUUACAGCAAAGCCGAAUGAUUGGAAGUUGGAACUGCUGUCACUAUUGUUAGUUGUAAGGUACGACAACUAUGUACCUGCGUGCAACAGGUACAAGUUAAUGCCAGCCAAUUCAUGUUCAUGGCAGCCACCCUUUGAGGCAGACAACGGGUGAGAAAUUUCACAUUUGAGAAAUUUAUGUGAUCUGUUCACAGUUAUUUGCUUUUAAUAUUCAUGUGGGAAAUUUAUGUCCAAAUUAAUGAGUAAAGAAAUCAUUUUAACAACUGUGAACUCACAUAUGUACCAAAUAGGAGUGCAAUCAAGUCAAGCUGCUCACGGGUAGCUUGCGGGUGGCUUGAUCAAAAGUUUGGCUCAAAUCGAGUUCGAACUCGAGUUCGAACUAUUCGUUACAUUCAACGAGUCAAGUUCGAGUUUCAAAAAUAAAUACUCGAGUGCUCGACGAGUUUAAUCAAGUUUUCAUAUUAUAUUUAUAUUAUAUAUUUUGAGAAAAUAUUUAUAGGUUUAGUUCAAAGCCCAAGCUCAAGCUCGAGCUCGAGUAGAUCGGGCUUGAUAUUUACUCGAACUCAAAUGAGUCGAGGUCGAGUUUAAUUUUAUUUUAUCGAGUCAAGCUCAAAUCCAAAUUUAUAUACUCGUUUGAGCUCGAGUAACACUAAUUAUGAUCGAGUUCGAGCUCAAGUAUGAUGCUACUCGAGCUCGACUAUGCUCGAUAGCACCUCUAAUACCAAAUACCUGAAAAUGAUGGAAAAUAUUUUCAGCCCAAUCAAACAGACCCCAAAGCUUGUACAUUUUCAACUGAAUCCCUUGGCCUGACAGUCAUCGCAGUUGGGGAAUUGAUCGACUUUUAAGGCCCAAAAGAACAUUGGGCUUGACAAGUUUGCACGUAACUAGGGAUGUUCUCGAAUCCUUCUUGCACGAGUGCCUAUUUCUUGAUCGUCUAAUAGUGGAAGUCAAACGAUUUGAUUAGUCUAGCGACUUCUGGUUGGUCUCUUUUAUUGCAGCAUUUGGAGAUAACCCGUUAUGCUCAAAUAGAAUCCAUCACGGUAGUCUGCAGUAAGGAUGCAAACGAGUCGAGUCGAGUCGAGUUUUGAAUUAAUUAGAUCGAAUUUCCAGUUAAUUUUAUGAAUCUCGAACUCAAGUUCAACUCAAUUCGAGUCCCUCGCGAUUGAUUCACGAGUGGUUCGAUUCGUGAGCACCCCUGAUCUGCGGGUGGGGCAUCACUUGAAACUAUUAAACCUCAUCCACAGGCUUCAGUUGUGCUUGUGGAUGGAAGGAAAUGUUUCCGGAAAGUCCAAAGGUCCAAUAACUCCCCAUUUCCUGCCGCUUGUUGAAACUGGAGGAUCUUUAGACUAAUCAUGGGAAUUCUCAAAUUGACUAGUCCAUGAAUAUGUAGACAGAUGCUCCUUCCUACUAGGUCCAUGAAUAUUUGGACCCAUGCAAUAAUAGAAAUCACGUAGCAACGAGCAGCUGCCAGACUAUCUGGAGAGCAUGUGUGAAUCAUAGAAUGCUGCAGCACUUUUUGUUUUGUUGAGAACGAGAGCCUAGACAUAAAUAUGUAUGUUCUUAUUUUGAAGAAUUAUCGUAGAACUUUUUAUGAUAUAAUAAAUGUAUGUAAAAUAAAAAAGAUAGUUAGAAAGAUGAAAAGCGUGCUUGUAAUACAAUCAAAAAAAUUACUUGUAAAUAAUUAUGUUGUUGGAGUAUUUUAAUAAAAUAAUUAAAUUCUCAAUUAAAUGUGCAUGUUACAAAGAAAAUAACCUAGUAAAAUUUUCUACAACUUAUAGGUGUUUUAAUGGUUUUGAAUAAAGACUUAUUAUAUGAAAUUAUGGCUUUUCAAUUUCAUUGAGAUUUUGUAUUUUACAAUUCAAAUUUGAAUUGAAUGGGUGUUGACUAAAGAAUUAUUAUGUGAGAUUAUGAUUUUUCAAUUACAAUAAGUUUUUGUAACCUACAAGACAAAUUUCAAUGUGUUUUGAAUGGCCAAUAAUUUUAGCAUUUACUUGGUGUUUUAUUAGUAGUAUAGGUUAUGUUUGUCUAACUUUUCUUCACCUAUAAAUAUGCAUAAUUGAGAUGGAAAAAUACUACUAGUACAACUUAUAUCUUGUGAGUUUAAAUUCACUAUUUUCUAGCUCAUAGUUAGACAAUAAAAAAGGUGUUCGUAGAGCUAAACUCUUCUAGUUAUGCAGUCUAGAGAGAGUGUCAGCUGGUGUGGUUGGGGUGUUGUAGCAUGGGGGCGACAAACUGAAAAUUCUGCUGUACAGGAAUCGAUUUUUUCGCAGAAACUUGAAUCAUCUUAAAGAAAGCGAAAUAUCCAUACCUAAACCCUCCACAUUUAUGCAUUAUUAUAUUAUUAUUUUAAUUAUUGUUAAUUUUAUUAUUAUUAUUAUAAAUAUUGUUGAUUUUGUUAUUUAACAUUUCUAUUUUUAUUCUGGUGGAACAACAUAUGUGUAUCCAAACAUAUUUGUUUGUGAGCGUAAUAAUUGCAUUGAUCCCUAAGACAUACUGAACCUCGUGAAUAUUGCUGUUAAUCUCUUUUAUAUUGCUGUUAAGACCAAACAAAUACGACAGGUAAUUGCACAAGUGCAUGCUUAUAAAGAAUGAACACAUGAAUUUACGUGAUUAAGAAACUGCAUCAUAUGGACAUGAUCCACUUAGGUCAAUUUCACCAAUCACUUCACAAAAACAGGUAUACUGUACAUGGGACCCCAAGGUUCGGCAGGUGUAGCUCCCACCGCAAUGAGCUUGACUUUUUAUUUGCCGCAGAUCCAAUUAAUAAUGAUUCAUUUAUGGAUGCUCUUAUCUGCAAAAGGUGUAAAAGUAGAGAAAAUAAAGAAAAUCAGACGCACGUGAUUAGAUAUAUGAAGGUUUUCUUUCAUUAGAUUGCUUCACUAUUGUCCUCUAUCUAUGCACAUGAUUGCUCCCUAUUUAGGUUUGUUUGCACGUAGUAGUAUUAUUUAAAAUAUUAUUUACAAUAAUUACUUUUUAUGAUACGAUAUAUGUGAGAUAAAAAGAUAGUUAAAAUAUAAAAAAAGUGGAUUGAAAAAUAUAUUUAUGAUACAAGCGAAAUAUUAUUUAAAAAUUUGCUAUCCCAACACUCUGAUUGUAUUAUAGAAUAGAAUAAAUGGAAUCUUUUACUCUUUUUAAUGUAAUAAGACAAGAUUAUGCAAACCCCAAACGAAGGGAAAUUUAGACCGCUGUUUAUUUCUAUCGGGUUGGACCAUGAAUUGGAUUGUGAUUUUUUUGCAAAAGAAUUUUACGUUUUUUGUGAGUAUAUUUUUUUAAAUAUCUUUCUAUCUUACAUACAUUAAAUCGUUACCAUACUUUUUUUUUUUAUAAAAACUUCUAAAAAUAGCAAUUCAAACGAGUUUGAUCUUUUGCACAUGACUGCACCAAACACUUGAUAGGUUGAUUAAUUUGAGCCCCAAAGUGUCUUAAAUGGGCUGCUAAGUACCCCUUUAAUCCAAAACAUUCGCAUCAAUACUAAAGUAAGACUGCUUGGGGGCUUAUCUUAAUAGCCCACAUGAACAAUCACAUGUAAAAUGUGUAAUCUUUGCAUGGAUUAGGCAGACGCGGUGACCUGUGCUAGCUUCCAAAGCUGUUAUCUUUAGUAGAGAUGGUAUUUCCAUUGAUUAAACAAGCUCCUAACAAAAUUUGACAAAAAUAAUUAGUUCCGUUUUCUCAGAAGUCUGUAAACAGACGGUAGUUUGUGUUUAACGUGUAAGUGUAGCAAAUCGCAAUGUACCUAAUGUGCUCAAAUUAAUGAUCGUGGACGAAAUUUUUUUUUUUUUUUUUUGGGUGCUUUCUUGAUCUCCACUAGGAACCUAAUUUGAGUAGCAUGGUGAGUGGAAAUCCACCUGCUGACGAAAAAUUGGAGAAAACAUUUGUAUUGUCGUUGCUGUAGAAUUGACAACGGAUAUAUGGAAGAGCUCAAGAAGUGGAGAAAGAUUCCAUAAUCUUUGAAUGAUGCUAGUGGUAGAAGGUAGAACUUGUGUUGUAAGCUCAAUUUUUUAAGCAAUGGAAUACGCAAAUAUGGAACUGUUUUAACUUUUCCUCUUCAGGAGCCCAACAUUUUUUAACAUUUGUUAAAUAUACGCAAAUAUAAAGAAGGUCGAAUAUUUUCACUCAUUUAACAUUUGUGCCUAGACUUUAAAAGAAAAUGAAUAGAUUUAUGCGCCCAACAGAAAUUGAAUGUAUGACUGAAAAAUGAACUAAACUAUAUUUGAUAUUUGAGUUGAGUUCGACGCGUCAUAAGAACUAGAUUCAAAUUGGUUCACUAAUUAAUCAAAUCAAAUAUAAAACAUUUUUCUGGAUUUCGUAAACUUUCGAACUCAACUUGAAUUUAGCUCGAUAAGCCAAAAUUUGAUAUCUUCAUAUAAAAAUUUCAAAGCUACCCGAGUUUGAUGUGAACUAAGUUUGACUAAAACUUGUUUAAGUUUAGCAUAAUAAAUAAAUAAGUUUUAAACACCAAAGUGCACCAUUUGAUUGGACACUACUGUGUCUCUAGUUUAGUUUAAAUAAUGAUUAAAGAGAUGAGUUGAACGAGACAGAGGAAAGAAUAUAAGAAAAAGGUUUUAAAUUCGAAUUCCCCGCUUACACUUAAAAAAAAAAAAAAAAAAGGGGUAAAAAUAUAAUGAAGAAAGUUUUCAAACUUUUCAACGUGGCUAAAAAUAUUGAUGAAAUGGGCCCUUAAAUUUUCUUUCUUUACGAGUUCUAAACUGGAUUAAAGAACCUGAAGACGUGGGUUCCGAAAAUGUCCAUUAUUGGGAAAUGAAAGGGAUUUGCGAAAUCAUGGCCUGCGUGUGCUUAUUCGCUGCCUAGCAAUUUGUGAAGUUAUACACUAACAUGUGAACGAUAUUAGACACGUCAAAAGCUAUUCUGGAUAGUGUUCCACACAGUUCUUUCCCAUAAACCCCAGUUUCAAUUGACAAAUCCAUCACCAUGGCAUAUUGAUUAUGAAAGGAAAACGAACACAUGGUCUCCAAAAAAAAAAAUUUUUUUUUUAAAAAGAAACAACAUUGUCAUUACCUAUAUAUAAUUUUUUCGACACUAAUUAAAAAAAAAAGGAUUAUAAAUAGCAAGUAUAUAGAUCUGAUUAGAUUAAAAGGAUAAUCUGACAUCUCUUUUGUUUAUUGCAAAUGCGAUUCGAAUCUUUAAUUUAUAAUUUAAAAAGAAAUUUAAUCCUUUUUUUUUUUUGUGCCAUUGAGCUAAAGCUCAGUGGUUGCCAUUACCUGUAUGUAUGAUGGGCAGAAGGAAAAUGAGCAUUAAUGAAAAAGUCCAAGUGAGCUGCAAGAAGAGUCAGAGCUAUGGCAGUCUUCUUUCUAACAAGAAUUGUAUACGGCAAGAGCAGUUCUUUUUGGCUGGUACACCCACCCACCCACCCUUUUCAACCUCAAAUUACGCGAAAUAAGAGGGGGGGAAAGGGGCUAAUCAAACAUGUGUUUGUGGGAAUACCGGUCUUUUUUUUCCUCCCUCUCCUUGCUAAUUAAGAAUAAAAAAUUCACAGAGUCCAAAGUUUGCAGGAGGGAUCCAAAUAUUAGUACUGUGUUACUGCUAAACUAGAUUCCUGUCCUAUUUGUUGUGAUUUGCUGUGGAGGUGGUGCCUAAUCCACUUUUGUUGAUACGAAAUACAAGGUCCAAAUUUCGCCUUCGGCAACCUAAUGAUCCGAUGUACCUCUUUUAACUCUUGGCGUCCGUUCAAUUUCAUUAUGUUGUCUAAUCUGAUUUUUGCUGUCUAUCCUUUGCCAAAUCGAGAUACAUGUUGUGUCAAACAAGGUUUUCAAAAUCGGGAUCCUACCUGGGAUCUUUUUUUGGUUUGUAGGAUCGGAUCGUAGAAUCGGUAGAUCCUACAAAAAAUGUAAUAAAUUAUCAUAUUUAUAAUUUUUAAGUUUGCAAUUCAUAAAUAUAGUAACAAAUAAUGUAAUUCAUGUGCAAUCAAUAUAAUUAUAUUGUUAAUUAAGGUUAAUUCAUUUCUAAAGGCUCUAAACCAUAUUAAUUUAUUAUAAUAAAAACACAAAACACUAAUUCCAUGUGAUAACCUAUAACAAAGAUCAUUUAUUCACUUUAGUGAAUCAUAUGAGUCAAAUUUAAAGAUUCAUCAAAUUUUCUAGAUUUGGAAUUGGGCUUAAUUAUUUACAUGGAUUUAAAGUACUCUGAAUAUAGUUUACAACGCAACAAACGACACUCAAUUUCAAAUUUUCUACACAAAGAUAUAAUCAAAAUACUAAAAUUAUUAUUUAAUUUAUUAAAAAUAAUAGAAUUGUAUCAGGAUCGUAGAUUGGAUCGUUAGUAUUGAUCCGCAUCGUACGAUCCUCCUAACAACUAUGGUGUCAAAAGCCUGCACCAAAAAUUGAUAGUGCUUAGGAAACCACUGAGGACUCCCUCUCAACCCACCGAAAAUUCCAAAGCCUGGGAGACAAAUUAGGUAGUUUUGAUGAGGAAAUUAUGAGACACAAAAAUCCGAGGUUCGUGCUUGUACGUAUCUACCAAAAGAUCUUUGGCCUCUCAUUUUAUGGAGGAAUUUAUUGUGGCCGUUUAGUUUCCCUUUCAUGGCUCCUUUCCUUUAGGGUUUUGUUCGGACAAAUUGAUUGCACCUGCGUCCCUAGCAAUUUAUCACACAAUUAUGAUUUAUGUUUCCUAAUUCGUAAUGUUAAAAUAAUUUCCUCACAUGUUUUUUCAACACACCUUUCAAUUUUUUUUCCUAAGAAAAAAAAGAGUAAAAUGGGCUGAGAGAUUCUCAACAAACCACAAUGUAAUUUUAAAAUGAGAGUAAGGACGACUGAUUAAUGAUUUGAAUUUGGUACAAAAACCAAAUGAAUACGUAUAGACAAAACCUGCAAUAGAUGUACGAGUAACACGGGAUUUUCUUUUGAAAAGAAAAGAGCUUAUCAACAUCAAGACAGAUAUGAAAUCCAGUACUAGCGCUGUUACAAACAACAAGCAACCUAUUAACUUUGUUACUAAUGUUUUCAAAUUCAGAUUGAACUACUAGAAAUCGGUCAAGCAUCCGGUUCGAAUCUCCCCUAAAAAACGAAUAUAAAAAAUUCGGUCAAUUUUAAUCAAAAAUCAGAUUCAACCGGACUACAAUCUUGAAACUGAAAGAGGGAACUCUUACAAUUGGACCAAACUAGGGGUAUGCCAUAAACAAUUUCUUAGUAUUUGAGAACUCGGGCCUUCUAACCAACUCCUCUAGAGGGAGUUGGCCACCAUAUUAAUUGUAGGAUGGGAGGUCAAGGAUUCAAACAUUACCUUUCAUCAAUCAAUGUGGCUCAAUACGAGAUUGUCCUAAAUUUAUACAGGUGUGUGAUGCAUCCGUUUAGUCUGAUAGUGAUUCAGUUUCCCGUCAGAUUUUCCUGUGAUUCAGUUCCAUAGGGUAGGUUCCUCCCUUAAAAGUUAAAAGUUAAAAGUUAAAAAUAGGAGAGGGUUAGACUAGAUUAGAUUAAAUGUGCUGUUACGGCGAAAAGGUUCUCACCACAAUGCCACCUGUCAGUUCACGAAAGCCUUCAAUGCAUCCGCAUUUUUUCACCAGAAUAAAAGAAACAACCUCAACUUUCCCUUCCAUUCAAAAUCCAGGCAAGCAGAAAUAAAAACUUGUGGUCACAAAAAUUUCACAUUCUUUAAUCAUCUCCCCAACAGUCCCUGCCAUAUGUUUGUGGUCCAGAAAGCCCUCAUCCACGUCUAAAAAUAGUCUUCAAAUUAGCCCUUUGCCUUCCCCCCUCUCUCUCUCUAAAUAGCAUUAAUCAAGUACACGUGGAGGGCUCGAGAAAUGAGGGGCGGCGAGUGGUGUUGACGUGGCGAAAAGUGCAAAAAGAAAGUUGAAAGUCACACCUGAGAAGGAAAGAGAGAGAAGAGGAGAAAGGGCAAGAGAGAGGUGGAGUGGACUAAAUACUAAUGGCCAACAAGAAAUGUACUACUCUCCAACUUACUAGAUGACAUCUCAUCAUUAUCUCAUCCUCAUCCCACAAAACAGACCACACCCACACUUUUUUUUCUUUAUUGUAAUCCACAACUCUUGGCUUCCCAAAUUUCUCUCCUUCUUUUUUUCUGGAUUAUUUAUUUAUUUAUUUAUUUUUGUGAUUCUAUAUUUUAGAGGAUGCAGAUAUUUUGGGAAUUUUUCCUAGUCACAAAAAAAAUAUCCAUGUCCUUGAUUAUUGCAGCAAAUAUUUUGUGUGGGAUUUUUUUUUGUGUCCUCCUGUUCUAGGCUUGUGGACAGGUGGGGUUCACACUUCACACUAUACGACGUUUUGAUGUUGGGGGCUUGCACUUUGUCAAAUGGGAUUGGACGUGGGAAUUUUUAUACUUUACUUUUUUUUUUUUUUCCCUCUCUCUCUCUCUCCCCCUCUCAGCAUCUGUCCAAUUAUGCAUCAAGUUGCAAUCUAAUAGUAUAAAGUUAAAGUACAUCAGGUUUUGUGGUAUUUUUCAUGCUUAUAUAUCUAAUCUAGGUUUAUAUGCGGAAGAAAUAAAUUAUACCAAAGGAAGCAACAGUCGGUGGUAAAGAAAGUAGCUUUAUUUGGUUUAGAUGCUGUCAAAUUAAAAGUUAUCUACUUAAAGGGCUUUUCAUGUCAAUUAAAAUAAGUUUUACUUUCCAAUCAUAUGACGCGUUACAUUUGUAAUUGAUUCGCUAGAAUUGACUACUUAGGCGCCUUUGAAAAUUGUGGUUUCAAUUAUAAAAACUCAAUAUGAUUGGUCAACCUAAUUUGAGCAAGAAUAUAAUAUUUAACCACUACUAUAGUGUCGCAUUUACAAAUGAAUGAUGCGUAUUUAUUAUGUGAGUCGGCCUUGUUUGAAUUGUGAUUUUCUAUAGAAAAGUUUUUAUAAUUUCUGUAAAUAUAUUUUUAAUCAAUUUUUUAUUUUAUAUAUAUUAAUAUAUUUUGUAUAUAUUAAUUUUUUAAAAAUAAUAAUCCAAACGAGAUGGGUAAAAUACGACCUGACCUUAAAGAAGAGUGAAUUUUCACAUUUUGACUAUUCAUUGAAAGGGAAAAUACUCAAUUUGAUUACGAAAAACAUACUCCACCUCUGAAUUAAUUAAUUGAAGGGGAAAAAAGGGGAAAGAAAAGAGAAAAAGACAAACAAACAGUAAAUGAAGGCCCUGUUUGGCACUUGAGUUUUUUCCCAAGUUUGUCAACUAUAAAUUUUUUAAAAACUUUAAUUACAGUAAACUCAAGAAAUUUUUUCAAGUUUUUAAACUAUACGUUUCAAAAUAUUCAAAAAUUUACACACUUCAAAAAAUUUUUUAAAAAUUUCUACAAUAAAUUACAGUAAAAUUUUAAACAAAUAUUCAAAAAACUCACUUGCCAAGUAGAGCCGAUGGCUCGAGGUUUCAAGCUCCAAAUGCCAACUAGUGCCGUACUCU